RNAcentral lists this ribosomal RNA (500 nucleotides) under uncultured bacterium. RNAcentral describes it as "partial 16S ribosomal RNA". It matches the Rfam family "Bacterial small subunit ribosomal RNA", at positions 30 to 523 of the family's 1533-position model. The record is from RNAcentral.
AUUGAACGCUGGCGGCAUGCCUUACACAUGCAAGUCGAACGGCAGCACGGGAGCAAUCCUGGUGGCGAGUGGCGAACGGGUGAGUAAUAUAUCGGAACGUGCCCAGUCGUGGGGGAUAACGUAGCGAAAGCUACGCUAAUACCGCAUACGAUCUAUGGAUGAAAGCGGGGGAUCGCAAGACCUCGCGCGAUUGGAGCGGCCGAUAUCAGAUUAGGUAGUUGAUGAGGUAAAGGCUCACCAAGCCGACGAUCUGUAGCGGGUCUGAGAGGACGACCAGACACACUGGGACUGAGACACGGCCCAGACUCCUACGGGAGGCAGCAGUGGGGAAUUUUGGACAAUGGGCGCAAGCCUGAUCCAGCAAUGCCGCGUGCAGGAUGAAGGCCUUCGGGUUGUAAACUGCUUUUGUACGGAACGAAACGGCGAGCUCUAAUACAGCUUGCUAAUGACGGUACCGUAAGAAUAAGCACCGGCUAACUACGUGCCAGCCGCCGCAGUAA